RNAcentral lists this transfer RNA (85 nucleotides) under Candidatus Komeilibacteria bacterium CG_4_10_14_0_2_um_filter_37_10. Its description in RNAcentral is "tRNA-Leu". It matches the Rfam family "tRNA". Rfam says of the family: Transfer RNA (tRNA) molecules are approximately 80 nucleotides in length. Their secondary structure includes four short double-helical elements and three loops (D, anti-codon, and T loops). The record is from RNAcentral. Lineage: Bacteria; Candidatus Komeiliibacteriota.
GCUGGGGUGGCGGAAUUGGUAUACGCGCAUGGCUUAGGACCAUGUCUCGCAAGGGAUGGAGGUUCGAGUCCUCUCCCCAGCACCA